This 2202-nucleotide ribosomal RNA is filed under the name Escherichia coli. RNAcentral describes it as "partial 23S ribosomal RNA". It matches the Rfam family "Bacterial large subunit ribosomal RNA", at positions 717 to 2895 of the family's 2925-position model. Lineage: Bacteria; Pseudomonadati; Pseudomonadota; Gammaproteobacteria; Enterobacterales; Enterobacteriaceae. The record is from RNAcentral.
GAAACCCGGUGAUCUAGCCAUGGGCAGGUUGAAGGUUGGGUAACACUAACUGGAGGACCGAACCGACUAAUGUUGAAAAAUUAGCGGAUGACUUGUGGCUGGGGGUGAAAGGCCAAUCAAACCGGGAGAUAGCUGGUUCUCCCCGAAAGCUAUUUAGGUAGCGCCUCGUGAAUUCAUCUCCGGGGGUAGAGCACUGUUUCGGCAAGGGGGUCAUCCCGACUUACCAACCCGAUGCAAACUGCGAAUACCGGAGAAUGUUAUCACGGGAGACACACGGCGGGUGCUAACGUCCGUCGUGAAGAGGGAAACAACCCAGACCGCCAGCUAAGGUCCCAAAGUCAUGGUUAAGUGGGAAACGAUGUGGGAAGGCCCAGACAGCCAGGAUGUUGGCUUAGAAGCAGCCAUCAUUUAAAGAAAGCGUAAUAGCUCACUGGUCGAGUCGGCCUGCGCGGAAGAUGUAACGGGGCUAAACCAUGCACCGAAGCUGCGGCAGCGACACUAUGUGUUGUUGGGUAGGGGAGCGUUCUGUAAGCCUGUGAAGGUGGCCUGUGAGGGUUGCUGGAGGUAUCAGAAGUGCGAAUGCUGACAUAAGUAACGAUAAAGCGGGUGAAAAGCCCGCUCGCCGGAAGACCAAGGGUUCCUGUCCAACGUUAAUCGGGGCAGGGUGAGUCGACCCCUAAGGCGAGGCCGAAAGGCGUAGUCGAUGGGAAACAGGUUAAUAUUCCUGUACUUGGUGUUACUGCGAAGGGGGGACGGAGAAGGCUAUGUUGGCCGGGCGACGGUUGUCCCGGUUUAAGCGUGUAGGCUGGUUUUCCAGGCAAAUCCGGAAAACCAAGGCUGAGGCGUGAUGACGAGGCACUACGGUGCUGAAGCGACAAAUGCCCUGCUUCCAGGAAAAGCCUCUAAGCAUCAGGUAACAUCAAAUCGUACCCCAAACCGACACAGGUGGUCAGGUAGAGAAUACCAAGGCGCUUGAGAGAACUCGGGUGAAGGAACUAGGCAAAAUGGUGCCGUAACUUCGGGAGAAGGCACGCUGAUAUGUAGGUGAAGCGACUUGCUCGUGGAGCUGAAAUCAGUCGAAGAUACCAGCUGGCUGCAACUGUUUAUUAAAAACACAGCACUGUGCAAACACGAAAGUGGACGUAUACGGUGUGACGCCUGCCCGGUGCCGGAAGGUUAAUUGAUGGGGUUAGCGGUAACGCGAAGCUCUUGAUCGAAGCCCCGGUAAACGGCGGCCGUAACUAUAACGGUCCUAAGGUAGCGAAAUUCCUUGUCGGGUAAGUUCCGACCUGCACGAAUGGCGUAAUGAUGGCCAGGCUGUCUCCACCCGAGACUCAGUGAAAUUGAACUCGCUGUGAAGAUGCAGUGUACCCGCGGCAAGACGGAAAGACCCCGUGAACCUUUACUAUAGCUUGACACUGAACAUUGAGCCUUGAUGUGUAGGAUAGGUGGGAGGCUUUGAAGUGUGGACGCCAGUCUGCAUGGAGCCGACCUUGAAAUACCACCCUUUAAUGUUUGAUGUUCUAACGUUGGCCCGUAAUCCGGGUUGCGGACAGUGUCUGGUGGGUAGUUUGACUGGGGCGGUCUCCUCCUAAAGAGUAACGGAGGAGCACGAAGGUUGGCUAAUCCUGGUCGGACAUCAGGAGGUUAGUGCAAUGGCAUAAGCCAGCUUGACUGCGAGCGUGACGGCGCGAGCAGGUGCGAAAGCAGGUCAUAGUGAUCCGGUGGUUCUGAAUGGAAGGGCCAUCGCUCAACGGAUAAAAGGUACUCCGGGGAUAACAGGCUGAUACCGCCCAAGAGUUCAUAUCGACGGCGGUGUUUGGCACCUCGAUGUCGGCUCAUCACAUCCUGGGGCUGAAGUAGGUCCCAAGGGUAUGGCUGUUCGCCAUUUAAAGUGGUACGCGAGCUGGGUUUAGAACGUCGUGAGACAGUUCGGUCCCUAUCUGCCGUGGGCGCUGGAGAACUGAGGGGGGCUGCUCCUAGUACGAGAGGACCGGAGUGGACGCAUCACUGGUGUUCGGGUUGUCAUGCCAAUGGCACUGCCCGGUAGCUAAAUGCGGAAGAGAUAAGUGCUGAAAGCAUCUAAGCACGAAACUUGCCCCGAGAUGAGUUCUCCCUGAGACUUAGAGUCUCCUGAAGGAACGUUGAAGACGACGACGUUGAUAGGCCGGGUGUGUAAGCGCAGCGAUGCGUUGAGCUAAC